RNAcentral lists this ribosomal RNA (332 nucleotides) under uncultured bacterium. RNAcentral's name for it is "bacterial SSU rRNA". It matches the Rfam family "Bacterial small subunit ribosomal RNA", at positions 568 to 898 of the family's 1533-position model. The record is from RNAcentral.
CGCGUAGGCGGUGAGAUGCGUCCGUUGUGAAAUCGCCCGGCUCAACUGGGCGGGGUCAGCGGAUACGGUCUCACUUGAGCAAGCUAGGGGGCAAUGGAAUUCCCGGUGUAGUGGUGGAAUGCGUAGAUAUCGGGAGGAACACCAGUGGCGAAGGCGGUUGCCUGGGGCUUUGCUGACGCUGAGGCGCGAAAGCGUGGGGAGCGAUCCGGAUUAGAUACCCGGGUAGUCCACGCCGUAAACGAUGUCGACUAGGUGUCGGGGGUAUCGACCCCCUCGGCGCCGCAGCUAACGCAUUAAGUCGACCGCCUGGGGACUACGGCCGCAAGGCUAAA